AUGGCCAGCCUCAACAACGCUUCCUGGUCCAGCGGCCUCUGCGGCUGCUACGACGACGUCGGCGGCUGCUGCCUGACGUUCUUCUGCCCGUGCGUCGUCUUCGGGAGGAUCGCCGAGAUCGUCGACAUGGGCGCCACAUCUUGCUGUGCGAGCGGGACGGUGUACGCUGCCCUGGCGUCGGUGACGGGGAUGGGCUGCCUCUACUCGUGCGGCUACCGCUCCAGGCUGCGGGAGCAGUACCGGCUCAAGGAGACGCCCUGCGGCGACUGCUGCGUCCACUGGUUCUGCGAGGCCUGCGCCCUCUGCCAGGAGUACCGCGAGCUCAAGACCCGCGGCUUCGACAUGGCCCUCGGGUGGCAGGCCAACAUGGAGAAGAUGGGGAAGACCACGGCGCCGCAGACGCACGCGGGGAUGACUCGCUAG
Molecule: ribosomal RNA, 423 nt
Filed under: Triticum aestivum (bread wheat)
Lineage: Eukaryota; Viridiplantae; Streptophyta; Magnoliopsida; Poales; Poaceae
Description: partial small subunit ribosomal RNA
Source: RNAcentral